GCUCAGGACGAACGCUGGCGGCGCGCCUAACACAUGCAAGUCGAACGAGCGAGAGAGAGCUUGCUUUCUCAAGCGAGUGGCGAACGGGUGAGUAACGCGUGAGGAACCUGCCUCAAAGAGGGGGACAACAGUUGGAAACGACUGCUAAUACCGCAUAAGCCCACGACCCGGCAUCGGGUAGAGGGAAAAGGAGCAAUCCGCUUUGAGAUGGCCUCGCGUCCGAUUAGCUAGUUGGUGAGGUAAUGGCCCACCAAGGCGACGAUCGGUAGCCGGACUGAGAGGUUGAACGGCCACAUUGGGACUGAGACACGGCCCAGACUCCUACGGGAGGCAGCAGUA
Molecule: ribosomal RNA, 339 nt
Filed under: uncultured bacterium
Lineage: Bacteria
Description: bacterial SSU rRNA
Rfam family: Bacterial small subunit ribosomal RNA
Source: RNAcentral